CCUACGGGAGGCAGCAGUGGGGAAUAUUGGUCAAUGGGCGGAAGCCUGAACCAGCCAAGCCGCGUGAAGGAAGAAGGCUCCACGCUUCGUAAACUUCUUUUUUCGGGGAGCAAAGGGCGCCACGUGUGGCGUUGUUAGUGUACCCGAAGAAAAAGCAUCGGCUAACUCGGUGCCAGCAGCCGCGGUAAUACGGAGGAUGCGAGCGUUAUCCGGAUUGAUGGGGUUUAAAGGGUGCGUAGGCGGUCCGGAAAGUCAGCGGUAAAAGCCCGGGGCUAAACCCCGGCGAGCCGUUGAAACUGGUGGUCUAGAGAGGGAGAGAAGUACGCGGAAUGCGAGGUGGAGCGGUGAAAUGCAUAGAUAUCGGGAAGAACGCCGAUUGCGAAGGCAGCGUACCGGCGCCGGACUGACGCUGAGGCACGAAAGCGUGGGGAGCGAACAGGAUUAGAUACCCCAGUAGUC
This 459-nucleotide ribosomal RNA is filed under the name uncultured bacterium. Its description in RNAcentral is "partial 16S ribosomal RNA". It matches the Rfam family "Bacterial small subunit ribosomal RNA", at positions 338 to 795 of the family's 1533-position model. The record is from RNAcentral.